GAGCACCUUCAGGGGGGUAGAGGAGCCCCGAGGAAGAAGAAAUUCCAAGAAACACAAAGAAGAAUGAAGCAAGGAGGAGAAUGGCUGCUGUAAAAGAAUAAGAAGGUCAUAUGCACCCACAGCUUACUGGAUAAAAUCUCUUCUGGGAGUUGGAAGAAGUCAGUUCAAAAUCCACAAAUGUGAAGAGUGAAAGAUUCUAAAUGUCACCCUUUUAAAGAAAUUUCUCUGUGUUUUUAUACAUUAGCAUACAGCAAACUACCAUAAUAACAUGUAGUGGGUUUCAUGUUCAUUAAAUUCUGUUUGCUAAAUUUA
Long non-coding RNA from Hirundo rustica (Barn swallow), 312 nucleotides. RefSeq lists it as uncharacterized. The record is from RefSeq and is a predicted model, not a curated record. Lineage: Eukaryota; Metazoa; Chordata; Aves; Passeriformes; Hirundinidae. The transcript has 2 exons.